This 931-nucleotide long non-coding RNA is filed under the name Anas platyrhynchos platyrhynchos (common mallard). RNAcentral's name for it is "lncRNA (ENSAPLG00000027902.1)". The record is from RNAcentral. Lineage: Eukaryota; Metazoa; Chordata; Aves; Anseriformes; Anatidae.
CACCUGCUUCUGGGCCAGAGACAUCAUGUGCUUUUCAUUACCAUCAUUAGUCAUUGUCAGUACAUCUUGUUACAAGAGCAAAGCAUAAAAGAUCAAGACUGCUGGCCCCCCUGUAAUAAUGUAGUGUAUACUGAAGACUUUUAUGUAUUUUGCAUAGGUAUAGGACUGAGUGAAAUGCUUAGACAGUAUCUGAGAUGUUAGUUAUUUUUAGCUGUCCUAGUGUAGUUAUUUAGAAUUAAAACUUUCUUGUUGCUGUCACUGUGUUCUGCUAUCCUGCAGCUGUUCUGCAUCCCCUGUGAAGGCAGAGAGGGGCUGACAGUCACCAUGUUCUCCCAUUUGGUGGGCUGCAGUCAGGAAAAAGUGGAGCCUGCUCUACCUAAUGACCUACAAAACCCUCCCCUGUUCAUGACAAAAUCUAAACCUGUGCUUCAGUACUUCUGGUUGCAUGGCCAAGGAAGGUCCUCUUGGAGCUGUUCUUUUCCAUGUGUUGUGACUGCAUCACCAACAACUCCUCUCAAGAGGCUCUCAGUAUUUCUGGUUUUGAUCACCAGUGGACAGAACAUAUGGAUUCCUUGACUUCUGGCAGUGCUUUGGUUAUGGGGGCCUAUCUCAAGCAGCUCUCACUUUUGGAGUCCUCUGAGGAACUGAGGUUCCAGAACUACACUCCUACAGAAAUGAUGUCCCUUGAGUGCAAGUCAGCCUCCCCAGAACCCUUGGCAGCUCUGCAGAAGCAUCAGAUCUUGUUACGUUACUUUGGCAGUACAGAGGUCUCAAGCCCUUUCAGAAGGGCAAUGAGGGCCUACUGGAUACUAAAGGUGUCUAUCAUCAGAGGAAAGCAGAAGUGACUUUAUACCUAGAAUGUGCAGAGAUCAAACAAGAUGAGUGUUGCAGUAAAACAAUAAAGGCAUGUGUGUGCUUGUGUGUGAAUUCA